This 255-nucleotide ribosomal RNA is filed under the name uncultured bacterium. Its description in RNAcentral is "partial 16S ribosomal RNA". It matches the Rfam family "Bacterial small subunit ribosomal RNA", at positions 99 to 354 of the family's 1533-position model. The record is from RNAcentral.
CGGACGGGUGAGUAACGCGUGGGCAACCUGCCCUUAUCUGGGGGAUAACAGUUGGAAACGACUGAUAAUACCGCAUAAUAUGGUUUGAAGGCAUCUUCUUUCCAUCAAAGAUUUAUCGGAUAAGGAUGGGCCCGCGUCUGAUUAGCUUGUUGGUGAGGUAACGGCUCACCAAGGCGACGAUCAGUAGCCGACCUGAGAGGGUGAUCGGCCACAUUGGAACUGAGACACGGUCCAAACUCCUACGGGAGGCAGCAG